AUUGAACGCUGGCGGCAUGCCUUACACAUGCAAGUCGAACGGUGACAGGUCUUCGGAUGCUGACGAGUGGCGAACGGGUGAGUAAUACAUCGGAACGUGCCUAGUAGUGGGGGAUAACUACUCGAAAGAGUGGCUAAUACCGCAUGAGAUCUACGGAUGAAAGCAGGGGAUCGCAAGACCUUGUGCUACUAGAGCGGCCGAUGGCAGAUUAGGUAGUUGGUGGGAUAAAAGCUUACCAAGCCGACGAUCUGUAGCUGGUCUGAGAGGACGAUCAGCCACACUGGGGCUGAGACACGGCCCAGACUCCUACGGGAGGCAGCAGUGGGGAAUUUUGGACAAUGGGCGAAAGCCUGAUCCAGCAAUGCCGCGUGCAGGAUGAAGGCCUUCGGGUUGUAAACUGCUUUUGUACGGAACGAAAAGCCCCGGGUUAAUACCCUGGGGUCAUGACGGUACCGUAAGAAUAAGCACCGGCUAACUACGUGCCAGCCGCCGCGGUAA
This 498-nucleotide ribosomal RNA is filed under the name uncultured bacterium. RNAcentral describes it as "partial 16S ribosomal RNA". It matches the Rfam family "Bacterial small subunit ribosomal RNA", at positions 30 to 523 of the family's 1533-position model. The record is from RNAcentral.